GACGAACGCUGGCGGCGUGCCUAAUACAUGCAAGUUGAGCGAUGAAGAUUGGUGCUUGCACCAAUUUGAAGAGCAGCGAAAGGGUGAGUAACGCGUGGGGAAUCUGCCUUUGAGCGGGGGACAACAUUUGGAAACGAAUGCUAAUACCGCAUAACAACUUUAAACAUAAGUUUUAAGUUUGAAAGAUGCAAUUGCAUCACUCAAAGAUGAUCCCGCGUUGUAUUAGCUAGUUGGUGAGGUAAAGGCUCACCAAGGCGAUGAUACAUAGCCGACCUGAGAGGGUGAUACGCGACUCUGGGACUGGUACACGGCCCAAAAUCCGACGGGAGGCAGCAGUAGGGAAUCUACGGCAAUGGGCGAAAGUCUGACCGAGCAACGCCGCGUGAGUGAAGAAGGUUUGCGUAUCGUAAAACACUGUUGGUAGAGAAGAACGUGGGUGAGAGUGGAAAGCUCAUCAAGUGACGGUAACUACCCAGAAAGCGACGGCUAACUACGUG
This 497-nucleotide ribosomal RNA is filed under the name uncultured bacterium. RNAcentral describes it as "partial 16S ribosomal RNA". It matches the Rfam family "Bacterial small subunit ribosomal RNA", at positions 28 to 507 of the family's 1533-position model. The record is from RNAcentral.